RNAcentral lists this unclassified non-coding RNA (220 nucleotides) under plant metagenome. Its description in RNAcentral is "partial contains small subunit ribosomal RNA, internal transcribed spacer 1, and 5.8S ribosomal RNA". The record is from RNAcentral.
UUUCCGUAGGUGAACCUGCGGAAGGAUCAUUACAGAGUUCAUGCCCUCGCGGGUAGAUCUCCCACCCUUGAAUAUUUAUACCUUAGUUGCUUUGGCAGGCCGUGGAAACACCAUGGGCUCCGGCUUAUGCGUGCCUGCCAGAGGAAACAAACUCUGUUUUUAGUGAUGUCUGAGUACUAUAUAAUAGUUAAAACUUUCAACAACGGAUCUCUUGGUUCUG